UGGGGAAUUUUGGACAAUGGGCGAAAGCCUGAUCCAGCAAUGCCGCGUGAGUGAAGAAGGCCUUCGGGUUGUAAAGCUCUUUUGUCAGGGAAGAAACGGUGAAAGCUAAUAUCUUUUUCUAAUGACGGUACCUGAAGAAUAAGCACCGGCUAACUACGUGCCAGCAGCCGCGGUAAUACGUAGGGUGCAAGCGUUAAUCGGAAUUACUGGGCGUAAAGCGUGCGCAGGCGGUUUUGUAAGUCUGAUGUGAAAUCCCCGGGCUCAACCUGGGAAUUGCAUUGGAGACUGCAAGGCUAGAAUCUGGCAGAGGGGGGUAGAAUUCCACGUGUAGCAGUGAAAUGCGUAGAUAUGUGGAGGAACACCGAUGGCGAAGGCAGCCCCCUGGGUCAAGAUUGACGC
Molecule: ribosomal RNA, 399 nt
Filed under: uncultured bacterium
Lineage: Bacteria
Description: bacterial SSU rRNA
Rfam family: Bacterial small subunit ribosomal RNA
Source: RNAcentral